AAUCCAUGGUUUCUUUAGUGAGUACCCCACACGUGUUUUCUUUUUGAAUACCUUUAAUUACAUUUCUUUCACCGAAGGAUCCAAGAAAGCUCACAACACUUGCUUUUUCUUUCUAUAGCUUUUUCUCCCUUUGCUUGGAAAAUAAUGACUCCCGUAAGAAUCCAUGGUUUCUUUAGUGAGUACCCCACACGUGUUUUCUUUUUGAAUACCUUUAAUUACAUUUCUUUCACCGAAGGAUCCAAGAAAGCUCACAACACUUGCUUUUUCUUUCUAUAGCUUUUUCUCCCUUUGCUUGGAAAAUAAUGACUCCCGUAAGAAUCCAUGGUUUCUUUAGUGAGUACCCCACACGUGUUUUCUUUUUGAAUACCUUUAAUAGACAAUUUGUUGCUUGCAGGAAUAAUUGCCAUGCACGUCAUGAUGUGGAUCGCACAUGACCAAAAGAGGCCAGAGACACUCAAUUGGGUCAACUCAGUGUUAAGAACGUGUGACGCACAUAACACAAGGAAGAAUGGAUGUUCGUUCCCAUGGAGAAGCUUGGGAAUCACAUGAUUUACUUCUCCGCGUUUAUCACGUAAGCUUUGAUGUAGUCGUUCAGUAUAAUUCCCAUGGAGAAGAUAAGAAGCUUCUCCGCGUUUAUCACGUAAUCUAAUAUUGAAUUAACUUUAAAAUCAUAUGAAAAGAUUAAUCAUUUUAAUAAAUAUUAGACGAGAAGUGUUGUUUCCCUAAAGACAAAGGUCCGCCGCACCGAGCCUCUGUUUCUCUAGCCCGACACCCUCCUUUUCUCUCUCUCUUGAUCUGCACCUUCACUCACCGUGGAACGUCCACCUCCUGUUCUCAAUUUUUUACGCUGGAAAGAAAUUUUAUGGGGUUCUAUUCUCGCAAUUCGUCUCGGGAUUAAAAAAUGGGGAAUAUUUAUGAUUUGUUUGAUCUAAAGGGGAAUAUUAAGAGCUGUUUAUGUGGACUAUUUGAGACUCUUUAGGCAAACAAGUCUCUGGCUUCUGUUGGAUGUGGUAUAAGGUGAUGCUAUUGAAUCAUUGAUGGGAAAGUUUCUUUACCUAUCAUAAAAAAAGAAAAAAAAAAAGGGUUUCUGGUACAACAGUUUAGAAGCUGUUUCGCGGAACUAGAGUUUACAAUCUAAUCUUAACUUGCUAUGCUCAUUUUAAAUUGACUAAAAUACUUGUUCACUGUAUAGGGAUUGUUUGUGGAAGUCAAACUUCUGGUUGUCAAAAAAUAUAUAAAACUGAAAAGUGAGAUGAGAUGCAAUUAGCUACUUCUACAACAGAAAUGUUUUUCUUUCCCCUGGGUUAGAAUUAUUGAUUUAUGUAGCUAGUUGGAAAGUACUAUAAUGGUUUGAAUAAAGAGAGAAAUACAGGAGUAUUUUGUGCUAAGGUGUUUUGGUUGGUCAAGUUUCGCUUCAAGGAGUUUGUGCUGUUGUAAAUAGGAUUAGUUAUUCAUUGUCCAAAGAAAAACAAGAAUUAAAUGAUAUUCUGGAGGAGAAUUUCAGUUGGAAAAUGUAUGAGCUGCAAUAGUCUAAACUUCUUCGAAAAAUGCAUUAGGAAUUAAGCUUAUCAUUUCUUGAAAAAUUUGGAAUUAAAGAUGUUUCUGAUUGUUCUCAAUUAUGAGAUCAUUUGCUAGGUUGAAGAACAGAAACCCAAGAAGAAGGCUCAUAGUGAAAAGGAGCCCCGGAUGAAGCACCAUCAUAGCUGUUUAAAGAAUCAAAAGCAUUCAUCAUCCAGGAAACAAUCAGAUUUAGAAAAUGUCACUGCAGAAGGGGAAAAGGGGAAGACUAGUAGACAGAAAUCUUGAUGUUGUAGUAUAGCCUCAUAAAUUGAGCAAAUGGAAUUAAAGUCUAAAAUAGCAUGUGUUAAAUUAGAAAAAGAUUCAGAAAGUUAGUUAUUUUCUGUUAUUGUCUUUCAUUAGUAUAAAUACAUUCAGUACUUGUAAUUAAUUCAUUCACACAAAAGGUUUUCAUUUCAUUUUUCCUCUGCUUCUAUUCUGUGUUCAUCAGAAAAUUGACAUGGUAUCAGAUUGAAAAUCAUUCUUGCUUCUGCAAAUUCAUCUUCUCGUCUCUAAAACUUUGAAUUCUUGAAAUCUGAAUUACAAAAUUCUGCUCGAGAAUUUUUGUUGUUGUCUUCUUCGUCUUCUUUCAUUUCUUGCACUUUCUCUAAUAGAUUCCUGAAAUGGAUUCUACCAAUUCUGCCACUUCUCCUCGCUCUGUCAUAAAUCUCUCAGAUUAUUCCUCUAGUCCUUCUUAUCUACAUCCAAAUGACAAUCCUGGUGCCCUCCUCGUUUCAGAAAUUUUUUCUGGAGAUAAUUACAUUGCAUGGAGUCGAUCAAUCACCAUGGCAUUGACUGUCAAGAACAAGGUGGCAUUCAUUAAUGGUUCGAUUGCUGCUACUCCUGCUGAUCAACUUGUUCUUCAUAGUGCUUGGCUGCGUGUUAACAAUUUGAAAAUUGACACUUGAUGUUGAUGAAAAGGAAAGAGAAGGCAGAGGGUAUUGUGAUUCAAGUCAUCACAAUGGGAUUGAGUCACACUUCAAGCGUCACAAUGUUGCUCCCAAACUUUCAGAGGAAGAGCGGGCUACUAGGCGGUAUGAGAUGCAAGUGGAUGUUGAACUGCAUGAAGAGCAAAGAUGGAAACGUUUGAGGAAGGCUGAGGAGGACGAUGGGUGAGAAACUACCCAUGCCAGCUUAUCUAGCGGCAGAAAUUUCUUGGAUGCUGCUCAGAAAAGUAUCUAUGGUGCUGAAAAAGGGGGAAGCUGGGUAGGUCUGCAGUUGAUUGCUGCCUAUCCUGAAUAGUUUUAGCUGAUAACUCUAGGUUUGCUUCUCCGCCUUGGCCCCCCUGCACAUGGGGUAUCUCUCAAGUAUUAGCUUUGAACCAUGUAUUGAAAUAUGAAUAGGGCGAAGUGAUAAUCGCAUUCUUUCACAAUUUACUUCUCCUUAGGGGCUAAUACCUUCCAGUAAUACUUGGCUUGAAAAUGAGGUGCCAAUUACUGACAUCUCCAGGCGUAAAUGUUAUAUAACACUCGCCAUGUGUGUGUUCUAUCACGUUUACAAAUUAAGGAUGACAAUGAAAAUUCAACCACUUCUUAAGGAAUUGAUUGGUUUGUUCUGUA
Carya illinoinensis is the source of this 3116-nucleotide RNA transcript. RefSeq lists it as uncharacterized. The record is from RefSeq and is a predicted model, not a curated record. Lineage: Eukaryota; Viridiplantae; Streptophyta; Magnoliopsida; Fagales; Juglandaceae. The transcript is spliced from 2 exons.